Molecule: ribosomal RNA, 403 nt
Filed under: uncultured bacterium
Lineage: Bacteria
Description: partial 16S ribosomal RNA
Rfam family: Bacterial small subunit ribosomal RNA
Source: RNAcentral
AUUGAACGCUGGCGGCAGGCCUAACACAUGCAAGUCGAGCGAGCGGCGGACGGGUGAGUAAUGUAUGGGGACUGCCCGAUAGAGGGGGAUAACUACUGGAAACGGUGGCUAAUACCGCAUACUCUCGUAUAACCCAUAUGGGAUUGGCUAGUAGGUGGGGUAAAGGCUCACCUAGGCGACGAUCUCUAGCUGGUAUGAGAGGAUGAUCAGCAACAUGGGGACGGAGAAACGGCCAAGACUCCUACGGAGGAAGCAGGGGGGAAUAUUGCACAAGGGGCGCAAGCCUGAGAAAGCCAUGCCGCGGGUAUGAAGAAGGCCUUAGGGUUGUAAAGUACUUUCAGCGGGGAGGCGUUACCCGAAGAAGAAGCAACGGCUAACUCCGUGCCAGCAGCCGCGGUAAUAC